ACCUUCCCAUUCCCGUUCCCAUAGUAUCGUAUCUGACACUGAUCUUGGUGAUUGUAGAAAGAGGAAAAAGUAAUAUUGCACCUUGCUUCACAGGGCUCACAGUCUGCCAUGAAGCACAUGGGCAAUUUUUAAACAAGG
RNAcentral lists this small nucleolar RNA (138 nucleotides) under Sorex araneus (European shrew). Its description in RNAcentral is "Small nucleolar RNA SNORA61 (ENSSARG00000019702.1)". The record is from RNAcentral. Lineage: Eukaryota; Metazoa; Chordata; Mammalia; Eulipotyphla; Soricidae.